GACGAACGCUGGCGGCGUGCUUAACACAUGCAAGUCGAACGGAAAGGCCCUGCUUUUGUGGGGUGCUCGAGUGGCGAACGGGUGAGUAACACGUGAGUAACCUGCCCUUGACUUUGGGAUAACUUCAGGAAACUGGGGCUAAUACCGGAUAGGAGCUCCUGCUGCAUGGUGGGGGUUGGAAAGUUUCGGCGGUUGGGGAUGGACUCGCGGCUUAUCAGCUUGUUGGUGGGGUAGUGGCUUACCAAGGCUUUGACGGGUAGCCGGCCUGAGAGGGUGACCGGACAAAGGGGGAGGAGAAAAGGGCCAGAAUCCUAAGGGGGGGAAGAGGGGGGAAUAAUGGAAAAAGGGGGGAAGCCCGAAGGAGGAAACCCGGGGGGGGGAAGGAGGGCCUUGGGGUGGAAAACGGUUUUGGCGGGGAAGAAGGGGGGGGGAAGGGUAAGGGGAAAAAAAAAACCGGCAAACAAGGG
RNAcentral lists this ribosomal RNA (467 nucleotides) under uncultured bacterium. RNAcentral's name for it is "partial 16S ribosomal RNA". The stretch from base 20 to 329 matches the Rfam family "Bacterial small subunit ribosomal RNA", at positions 47 to 358 of the family's 1533-position model. The record is from RNAcentral.